Molecule: ribosomal RNA, 258 nt
Filed under: uncultured bacterium
Lineage: Bacteria
Description: partial 16S ribosomal RNA
Rfam family: Bacterial small subunit ribosomal RNA
Source: RNAcentral
UGGGUCCUACGGGGGGCAGCAGUGAGGAAUAUUGGUCAAUAGGCGGGAGCCUGAACCAGCCACGCCGCGUGAGGGAAGAAGGUACAGCGUAUCGUAAACCUCUUUUGUCAGGGAACAAAGACUGGGACGCGUCCCCGGAUGAGUGUACCUGAAGAAAAAGCAUCGGCUAACUCCGUGCCAGCAGCCGCGGUAAUACGGAGGAUGCGAGCGUUAUCCGGAUUUAUUGGGUUUAAAGGGUGCGCAGGCGGUCUGUUAAGU